CCUACGGGGGGCUGCAGUGGGGAAUAUUGGACAAUGGGGGGAACCCUGAUCCAGCCAUGCCGCGUGUGUGAAGAAAGCCCUCGGGUUGUAAAGCACUUUCAGUGAGGAAGAACGCCUGGUGGUUAAUACCCAUCAGGAAAGACAUCACUCACAGAAGAAGCACCGGCUAACUCCGUGCCAGCAGCCGCGGUAAUACGGAGGGUGCGAGCGUUAAUCGGAAUUACUGGGCGUAAAGCGCGCGUAGGUGGCUUGAUAAGCCGGUUGUGAAAGCCCCGGGCUCAACCUGGGAACGGCAUCCGGAACUGUCAAGCUAGAGUGCAGGAGAGGAAGGUAGAAUUCCCGGUGUAGCGGUGAAAUGCGUAGAGAUCGGGAGGAAUACCAGUGGCGAAGGCGGCCUUCUGGAAUGACACUGACACUGAGGUGCGAAAGCGUGGGUAGCAAACAGGAUUAGAUACCCCAGUAGUC
Molecule: ribosomal RNA, 465 nt
Filed under: Vreelandella stevensii
Lineage: Bacteria; Pseudomonadati; Pseudomonadota; Gammaproteobacteria; Oceanospirillales; Halomonadaceae
Description: partial 16S ribosomal RNA
Rfam family: Bacterial small subunit ribosomal RNA
Source: RNAcentral